Molecule: long non-coding RNA, 427 nt
Organism: Mauremys reevesii (Reeves's turtle)
Lineage: Eukaryota; Metazoa; Chordata; Testudines; Geoemydidae
Exons: 3
Source: RefSeq, a predicted model, not a curated record
CACCCCAAAGCUAAAAGCAAACAUGUUAAGUUCCAGUUUCAAAUGGCAGAUUCCACAGAAGGUUAUCAAAAUCUGCAAAGCCCUCAGAGGAUAACGCCAUUGAGGCUCCACCCCUUCGUAUCCCAGUCGUAAAACCUAUGGAAUCCUGACCCUGUGGAGCUCCAGGAGAGGAAUUCAUACUGGGGACCAAGGAGGGAGUAAAGAUGUGCAUCUUCAUACACUACUUCUCCAAAGCCAGCCUAUGGAGUACAGAGAACGUAUCUUCAUGUUUUUGUAAUCCGCGUUUAUGAACCGUAAUAGUGUUUGACACAGCAAAAUGCAUAUACAAAAUGGAUUCACUCUUUAACAGCUGAACACAACAGGACAAAUAAAAAAUAAACAAUGUAACUUUUAUCUCUGGAUAUUUGGAAAUUUCUUUCAAAAUUUA